RNAcentral lists this ribosomal RNA (253 nucleotides) under uncultured bacterium. RNAcentral's name for it is "partial 16S ribosomal RNA". It matches the Rfam family "Bacterial small subunit ribosomal RNA", at positions 524 to 776 of the family's 1533-position model. The record is from RNAcentral.
UACAGAGGGGGCAAGCGUUGUUCGGAAUUACUGGGCGUAAAGGGCGCGUAGGCGGCCUGCUAAGUCGAACGUGAAAUCCCUGGGCUCAACCCAGGAACUGCGUCCGAUACUGGUUGGCUUGAAUCCGGGAGAGGGAUGUGGAAUUCCAGGUGUAGCGGUGAAAUGCGUAGAUAUCUGGAGGAACACCCGUGGCGAAAGCGGCUCUCUGGGACGGUACUGACGCUGAGACGCGAAAGCGUGGGGAGCAAACAGG